Non-coding RNA from Arachis ipaensis, 574 nucleotides. The record is from RefSeq and is a predicted model, not a curated record. NCBI's taxonomy places the organism in Eukaryota, Viridiplantae, Streptophyta, Magnoliopsida, Fabales, Fabaceae.
AAUGGCGGAAAUAAAAAAGAAAUUGAAAGAAAUGAAAGAAAAAGAAAAGAAAGAAGAAAAGAAAAAAAACCAAGUUCUUCCUCUGAGAAUGAUUCGCCAGAGACUGAUGUUGAUGUUUCCUCUGAGUCUGAGUCGGAAAAAGACUCAGAAGAACCUACAAGGAAACAACCCAAAAGGGGACCAAAAAAAUGGAAUCCAGAAAGAGGAAGCAAAUUUUAGAGGAUUCCAAUUCAAAGAGCAUAAGUGAAUCCACUAAUGAGAGUGAAGAAUCCUUACCAGUUAAAAAACAAAAAACAAGCAAAAAAAUUCAUACUUCCGCCAAAAGUGUGAACUGCCUUCGACGGUAUCUCAUAAUCAAUAUUGUUGUAUUUGUCUGAUUCAUAAUAUUUUGAUUUUCAGGACGCAACCCAGAAAAAGAAAGCACGUAAUCGAGGAUUCGUCUUCAGAAGAAGAAAAUCAUUCCUACGAUGGAAUGCCGGAGGUGAGCGUAGCAACCGAGACUGAUCCUUUGUUUCAAGGACAAACGGAGCAGAGCAGUGUAAACAAACCUUCGGAUUCCAUGUAAUUUCUUUCU